This 1603-nucleotide ribosomal RNA is filed under the name Myxobolus meerutensis. RNAcentral's name for it is "SSU rRNA". It matches the Rfam family "Eukaryotic small subunit ribosomal RNA", at positions 102 to 1501 of the family's 1831-position model. The record is from RNAcentral. Lineage: Eukaryota; Metazoa; Cnidaria; Myxozoa; Bivalvulida; Myxobolidae.
UAUAUCAGUGAUAAUCUAUUUGAUUGUACGUCCCAUUGGAUAACCGUGGGAAAUCUAGAGCUAAUACAUGCAUCGACAGCUGCGGCGACGCAACUGAGCAUUUAUUAGAAUAAACCAUCUGCUGGCAACAGCAAGACGAAUCUAGAUAACUAUGCUAAUCGCAUGGCCUUGUGCCGGCGUUGAUUCAAUUGAGUUUCUGCCCUAUCAACUUGUUGGUAAGGUAUUGGCUUACCAAGGUUGCCACGGGUAACGGGGAAUCAGGGUUCGAUUCCGGAGAGGGAGCCUGAGAAACGGCUACCACAUCCAAGGAAGGCAACAGGCGCGGAAAUUACCCAAUCUAGACAGUAGGAGGUGGUGAAGAGAAUUACUAAGUGGUUACUCAAUGAGUUWCCAGCUUGGAAUGAACGUAACUUAAGCAAUUCGAUGAGAAACAACUGGAGGGCAAGUCCUGGUGCCAGCAGCCGCGGUAAUUCCAGCUCCAGUAGUUUGCUUUAAAGUUGUUGCGUUUAAAACGCUCGUAGUUGGAUCAUGGAGUCACAGCCAGCAGUCGAAACGUAGCUACAGCUAGAAGAARGACCGUCUCGCACGGCAUCAUCGACCCGUAGCUUGUUAGACAAGUACGCUGGACGUGGCUAAUUGCGCGUGAGAUGGAACGUUAACCUUGAUUGCGUUGGUGUUUCCGUCUUGCGGAGUGUGCCUUGAAUAAAACAGAGUGCUUCAAGCAGGCGAUCGCCUGAAUGUUAUAGCAUGGAACGAACAAUCGUGUUUACGUGUUUCGCAGUGGCACGUUGCUGAUCUCUKGKWGGUAACGUUCUGCGCGGAUCACAUCACCCACCAAAAUAUAGCUGUGKUUCUAUAUACGGUGAUGAUUAAGAGGUUCUGUUGGGGGCAUCGGUAUUUGGCCGCGAGAGGUGAAAUUCUUGGACCGGCCAAGGACUAACAAAUGCAAAGGCACUUGUCCAGACCGUAUCCAUUAAUCAAGAACGAAAGUGGGAGGUUCGAAGACGAUCAGAUACCGUCCUAGUUCCCACCGUAAACUAUGCCGACCUGGGAUUAGUGCAGAGAUAACACUUGCUCUGCAUUAGUCCCUCUGGGAAACUUGAAGUUUUUCGGUUACGGGGAGAGUAUGGUCGCAAGGCUGAAACUUAAAGGAAUUGACGGAAGGGCACCACCAGGGRUGGAGCUUGCGGCUUAAUUUGACUCAACACGGGGAAACUUACCUGGUCCGGACGUCGAUAGGAUACACCGACUAAUAGAACUUAAGUUGAUGCGAUGAGUGGUGGUGCAUGGCCGUUCUUAGUUCGUGGAGUGAUCUGUCAGCUCAAUUGCGGUAACGAACGAGACCACAGUCUCCAUUUAAGAGGCGGAAAAAUUGGUAACGACUUGCUGGGGCAACUCAGCCGAGUCCUUCCCGCAGAAUGAACACGGACCUAGUCAAGUGUGCGUGAUGAGGCAACUUGUUGUGAGCAUUUGGCUGGAACUGUUUUCAUCUUUCCGCUAAGCASUAGCGGUCUUACUCGUUGCUGCCUUAUGGAGAGACAACGAGGAAUACAAAGCUCGAGGAAGAGUGGCUAUAACAGGUCAGUGAUGCCCUUCGAUGUUC